AUUGAACGCUGGCGGCAUGCCUUACACAUGCAAGUCGAACGGUAACAGGUUAAGCUGACGAGUGGCGAACGGGUGAGUAAUGUAUCGGAACGUGCCCAGUCGUGGGGGAUAACUGCUCGAAAGAGCAGCUAAUACCGCAUACGACCUGAGGGUGAAAGCGGGGGAUCGCAAGACCUCGCGCGAUUGGAGCGGCCGAUAUCAGAUUAGGUAGCUGGUGAGGUAAAGGCUCACCAAGCCGACGAUCUGUAGCUGGUCUGAGAGGACGACCAGCCACACUGGGACUGAGACACGGCCAGACUCCUACGGGAGGCAGCAGUGGGGAAUUUUGGACAAUGGGCGCAAGCCUGAUCCAGCCAUGCCGCGUGCGGGAAGAAGGCCUUCGGGUUGUAAACCGCUUUUGUCAGGGAAGAAAAGGUUCUGGCUAAUACCUGGGACUCAUGACGGUACCUGAAGAAUAAGCACCGGCUAACUACGUG
This 476-nucleotide ribosomal RNA is filed under the name uncultured bacterium. RNAcentral describes it as "partial 16S ribosomal RNA". It matches the Rfam family "Bacterial small subunit ribosomal RNA", at positions 30 to 507 of the family's 1533-position model. The record is from RNAcentral.